RNAcentral lists this ribosomal RNA (406 nucleotides) under uncultured bacterium. RNAcentral's name for it is "partial 16S ribosomal RNA". It matches the Rfam family "Bacterial small subunit ribosomal RNA", at positions 30 to 526 of the family's 1533-position model. The record is from RNAcentral.
AUUGAACGCUGGCGGCAGGCCUAACACAUGCAAGUCGAGCGAGCGGCGGACGGGAGAGUAAUGUAUGGGGCUCUGCACGAUAGAGGGGGAUAACUACAGGACACCAUGGCUACUCCCGCAUACUAUCGGAUGAACCGAAAUGGGCUUAGCUAGUAGGUGGGGGAAAGGAUCAACUAGGCGACGAUCUCUAGCUGGUCUGAGAGGAUGAACAGUCACACUGGGACUGAGACACGGCCCCUACUCCUACGGGAGGCAGCAGUGGUGAAUAUUGCACAAUGGGCGAAAGCCUGAUGCAGCCAUGCCGCGUGUUUGAAGAAGGCCUUAGGGUUGUAAAGCACUUUAAGCUGGGAGGCGUUACCCACAGAAUAAGCACCGGCUAACUCCGUGCCAGCAGCCGCGGUAAUUC